CCUGCGGAAGGAUCAUUACCGAGUGAGGGCCCUCUGGGUCCAACCUCCCACCCGUGUCUAUCGUACCUUGUUGCUUCGGCGGGCCCGCCGUUUCGACGGCCGCCGGGGAGGCCUCGCGCCCCCGGGCCCGCGCCCGCCGAAGACCCCAACAUGAACGCUGUUCUGAAAGUAUGCAGUCUGAGUUGAUUAUCAUAAUCAGUUAAAACUUUCAACAACGGAUCUCUUGGUUCCGGCAUCGAUGAAGAACGCAGCGAAAUGCGAUAAGUAAUGUGAAUUGCAGAAUUCAGUGAAUCAUCGAGUCUUUGAACGCACAUUGCGCCCCCUGGUAUUCCGGGGGGCAUGCCUGUCCGAGCGUCAUUGCUGCCCUCAAGCACGGCUUGUGUGUUGGGCCCCGUCCCCUCCCCCGGGGACGGGCCCGAAAGGCAGCGGCGGCACCGCGUCCGAUCCUCGAGCGUAUGGGGCUUUGUCACCCGCUCUGUAGGCCCGGCCGGCGCCAGCCGACACCCAACUUUUAUUUCUAAGGUUGACCUCGGAUCAGGUAGGGAUACCCGCUGAACUUAAGCAUAUCA
Molecule: ribosomal RNA, 569 nt
Filed under: Aspergillus fumigatus
Lineage: Eukaryota; Fungi; Ascomycota; Eurotiomycetes; Eurotiales; Aspergillaceae
Description: eukaryotic LSU rRNA
Rfam family: 5.8S ribosomal RNA (bases 204-357)
Source: RNAcentral